CCUACGGGAGGCAGCAGUGGGGAAUUUUGGACAAUGGGCGAAAGCCUGAUCCAGCAAUGCCGCGUGAGUGAAGAAGGCCUUCGGGUUGUAAAGCUCUUUUGUCAGGGAAGAAACGGUGAGAGCUAAUAUCUUUUGCUAAUGACGGUACCUGAAGAAUAAGCACCGGCUAACUACGUGCCAGCAGCCGCGGUAAUACGUAGGGUGCAAGCGUUAAUCGGAAUUACUGGGCGUAAAGCGUGCGCAGGCGGUUUUGUAAGUCUGUCGUGAAAUCCCCGGGCUCAACCUGGGAAUUGCGAUGGAGACUGCAAGGCUAGAAUCUGGCAGAGGGGGGUAGAAUUCCACGUGUAGCAGUGAAAUGCGUAGAGAUGUGGAGGAACACCGAUGGCGAAGGCAGCCCCCUGGGUCAAGAUUGACGCUCAUGCACGAAAGCGUGGGGAGCAAACAGGAUUAGAUACCCUGGUAGUCCACGCCCUAAACGAUGUCUACUAGUUGUCGGGUUUUAAUUAACUUGGUAACGCAGCUAACGCGUGAAGUAGACCGCCUGGGGAGUACGGUCGCAAAGAUUAAAACUUCAAAGGAAAUUGACGGCNGNGAGNGCGACGACGACACGAGGAGGAGG
This 619-nucleotide ribosomal RNA is filed under the name uncultured bacterium. Its description in RNAcentral is "bacterial SSU rRNA". It matches the Rfam family "Bacterial small subunit ribosomal RNA", at positions 338 to 947 of the family's 1533-position model. The record is from RNAcentral.